RNAcentral lists this long non-coding RNA (697 nucleotides) under Mustela putorius furo (domestic ferret). RNAcentral describes it as "lncRNA (ENSMPUG00000029673.1)". The record is from RNAcentral. Lineage: Eukaryota; Metazoa; Chordata; Mammalia; Carnivora; Mustelidae.
CAGGAAAUAGUGAAUCCGGUAUUUUUCCCAAUGGAGAAGCACCCUCCUAGCCACCGACCAGAAGGGAACAUGAUGUCUCCUCUUCUGUUAUAGCCUGGAGUGAUCCACAGGUGCUUACAGCAGGGAGGGAGAGGGACACUGCCAUGCCACAGGACUUGAAAGAUGCUGUUUUUAGGCUUAAAAAGUUAACAGCUCAUUAUAAAAUUUAUUUGAGGUCUAGGCAAUCUCCAGAUACCUAUGUAAUUAGAAAUAGGGCAAGCUAGAUCCAGAGAAUUAAAACAUCAGCUCAUUUCACACACAUUUAUUGUGAACACUCUCUGUGUUAUACAUUAUUUUAGGCAGAGAAAAUAAACAAUAACACAAACAAGACACUGUCUGGCUUCAUGGAACUUACCAACUAUCGUGGAGAUGACUGGCUAUCCAUCAGAAAUACACCUGGGAGUUAGCACCUUCAGAUAUUACAUCAUACAAAGCAAGUUGUGGAUGAUUAUCAAGAAGAGCGAAGGGCCUGAGAUUUUACUCUACUUCAAGCCAACAUGUUAGCCGGACAGUUCCAUGGAUACUGGCAGAAGAUAGAAGACUCCUGGGCAGAGACAGAGGACAGUUGAUUACUUAUAGCAAUUAUAGUGACCAGAGUAAUUAGAGUAAUAUCAUUUUCUUAACCCAAUUCCCUGAGCCUUAAUUCCCAGAGUGUGCC